Molecule: long non-coding RNA, 268 nt
Filed under: Panax ginseng (ginseng)
Lineage: Eukaryota; Viridiplantae; Streptophyta; Magnoliopsida; Apiales; Araliaceae
Description: long non-coding RNA (PGIN_LNC003369)
Source: RNAcentral
AAUAGGUCACCAGAGGCACUUAGUGCCAAAAUCAAUACACAAAGACAAUAGAGUUGCUACGUGGUACAAUGUCAAGGAUUGGCUCCUAUUUCAUAAUACUUUAGAAUACCACCAAUUUCUUGUUCAAUUUGAGUGACUAAACAAUAAAUAUGGUUGGCACAUCAAUGCAUAAUCACUCUCCAACCUGGUUAUAACACAAGUUAGAACAAGUACUCCACUUUCCAUUGCCAAAAAUAUUUCCCAUCAUUGCAUUCAAUUUAAUAAGGGG